CGGGGCUAAUCCCGCCGUUGCCGUGGCAACGCGAUGGCGGCGGCUCAGGAGAGCGCGUCGUUGUGGCUGGAGGCGCACGAGGACCCCCUGGCCGGGCUGCGAACCCUGCCAGGGUGUAUGGCCCUGGUUGAUCUCCAUGGCGAUGGCGACCACAAGGUCAUUUG
Molecule: long non-coding RNA, 164 nt
Organism: Myiozetetes cayanensis
Lineage: Eukaryota; Metazoa; Chordata; Aves; Passeriformes; Tyrannidae
Exons: 3
Source: RefSeq, a predicted model, not a curated record